RNAcentral lists this long non-coding RNA (295 nucleotides) under Solanum tuberosum (potato). RNAcentral's name for it is "long non-coding RNA (STUB_LNC005485)". The record is from RNAcentral. Lineage: Eukaryota; Viridiplantae; Streptophyta; Magnoliopsida; Solanales; Solanaceae.
AAUGAAGCCAAAUGGUUCCUUUUAUAGCCGAUUUUGGGAGAGGAGUCCACUCUCAAACCUAUUAGAUUAAGGGCAUAUCAAACCAAGAUCCAACGGUUCUUUGUGUCCCUCACCCUUUCAGGCAAGCGCCGGCGGUUCCUAGGCCUGCUUUGGGUCAGAAGAUUAGUUGGAAAAGAUGUAAAGUUGAUAGAAAGAGGGGCUGUGAUUGAUGGAUGGCGGAUGGAUGAAGAGGUGACGUUGGAGACCGCCGGAUAUUGUCGUUUUCCGGUGGUUCAUGGCCGUUUCUUUGGCAGCG